Molecule: ribosomal RNA, 380 nt
Filed under: uncultured eukaryote
Lineage: Eukaryota
Description: partial 18S ribosomal RNA
Rfam family: Eukaryotic small subunit ribosomal RNA
Source: RNAcentral
CAAUAGCGUAUAUUAAAGUUGUUGCAGUUAAAAAGCUCGUAGUUGGAUUUGUGGCGUACGGUGUGUUCCGGGCACUUGUUGUCUGAGUAACCUGCUGUUGCCAUCCUUGGGUGGAACCUGUGUGGCAUUAGGUUGUCGUGCGGGGGAUGCCCAUCAUUUACUGUGAAAAAAUUAGAGUGUUCAAAGCAGGCUUAUGCCGUUGAAUAUAUUAGCAUGGAAUAAUGAGAUAGGACUUUUUUGCUAUUUUGUUGGUUUGCGCAAGAAGGUAAUGAUUAAUAGGGACAGUUGGGGGUAUUCGUAUUCCAUUGUCAGAGGUGAAAUUCUUGGAUUUUUGGAAGACGAACUACUGCGAAAGCAUUUACCAAGGAUGUUUUCAUUAA